AGAUAAUUUAGCAUUCGCAGCCUAAUGGCUGCUGUCUGACCUAGUGCACCUACACAUUGGGACCCAGGCAUCGAUUAUGUAGGAAACGACACAUACAAAGCUUUGCGUAUGUGGGCGUAUUAUGAAGCUACUGACUGUUUAGGGGAGUUGGUUCGCCUAUGCAGAAGGGAAAUGAGCUUUGCUCGAAACAAUCAAAUAAACCUGUAGAAGUACAUGGGAUGGUUUUUUGGACACGGGUUCGACUCCCGUCUACUCCACUG
This 260-nucleotide transfer-messenger RNA is filed under the name Lachnospiraceae bacterium. Its description in RNAcentral is "partial transfer-messenger RNA". It matches the Rfam family "transfer-messenger RNA", at positions 104 to 374 of the family's 374-position model. From Rfam's summary of the family: Bacterial tmRNA, also known as 10Sa RNA or SsrA, is named for its dual tRNA and mRNA-like properties. Its role is to liberate the mRNA from a stalled ribosome. The record is from RNAcentral. Lineage: Bacteria; Bacillati; Bacillota; Clostridia; Lachnospirales; Lachnospiraceae.